RNAcentral lists this ribosomal RNA (394 nucleotides) under uncultured Gammaproteobacteria bacterium. RNAcentral's name for it is "bacterial SSU rRNA". It matches the Rfam family "Bacterial small subunit ribosomal RNA", at positions 370 to 779 of the family's 1533-position model. The record is from RNAcentral. Lineage: Bacteria; Pseudomonadati; Pseudomonadota; Gammaproteobacteria.
AAUGGGCGAAAGCCUGACGGAGCAACGCCGCGUGAGGGAUGAAGGCCUCUGGGCUGUAAACCUCUUUUAUCAAGGAAGAAGAUCUGACGGUACUUGAUGAAUAAGCCACGGCUAAUUCCGUGCCAGCAGCCGCGGUAAUACGGGAGUGGCAAGCGUUAUCCGGAAUUAUUGGGCGUAAAGCGUCCGCAGGCGGCCCUUCAAGUCUGCUGUUAAAAAGUGGAGCUUAACUCCAUCAUGGCAGUGGAAAUUGUUGGGCUUGAGUGUGGUAGGGGCAGAGGGAAUUCCCGGUGUAGCGGUGAAAUGCAUAGAUAUUACACAGAACACCGAUAGCGAAGGCAGCUCACUAGGCCUGGAUUGACGCUCAGGGACGAAAGCGUGGGGAUCAAACAGGAUU